AGGCUGUGAAAAUCACAGCACUGUGCCAAGCACAUUCUUGGUUUUCAUCCUAAUGCCUCCACAUACAUAAAUAAAAUGUGCAAGAGAAAGCAGCCUAUUAGGGGACAAUGAGGGAAGAGUAGUUAUUCUGGUUAUCCUAAGUAGUUAAUGAAGAUUCAAAGAAAAAGAGGUGUGGUCAUAGUCAGUCCUACUUGUUUGCUAUGGAGAACAGGAACUCAUGUUGAGGACCCAGUCAUGUUUAGAUAUUGUUUGUAAGCCUGAACUGGCAUUCCAAACCAUGGUCCAGAUUGAGGAAGCCCAGAUAGAGGUUCAAUUUUUGCACCAAUGGCUGUGUAUACCAAGGAAUCAUCUCAGGUGGGAUUUGUGUAAUAUAGAUGGACUCCAUAGACAACUUCCAGGGGAAAGAGUGGUCAUUGGAAACAAUCUGUGUGUGCCAUCCCUAUUUGGAAUCAAUACUCCAUAAUAAGGACUAAGCCUCUGAAAGUACGGCUCAUGAGAUCUAAAAGCAGAACCCUAAUUAUCUACUGAAGACCAGCUGAACAUCCAGCCAUCCAGCCUUGUGGACCUAACAGCUACUGGAUUCUUGGACAUUCCAUUCGUAGACAGCCAUUGUUGAAUAACUUGACUGGACUAUAGCCUGUACGCCAUUCUGUUCCUCUAGAGAACCCUAACUAACACACAUUACUAUGAUUGAAUUUAAAUUGGAAUUGUAAGGCGAAAUAGCUCUUUUAGACCCUAUAUUGCUUUUGUCAGGAUAUUUUAUCACAACAACAGAAGUGAAAUUAGAAGAAAUUCCUAAGCAAGGCUGACCGGAACAAAUUCAGAGUUGACAAGUCCUAUGGAGUGAAUAUAUCUCCCCAACAUUCAUGUGCUGAAGCCCUAGCCCCCAAUGUAUCCAGUUUGAAGAUGAAUAGGGAUUUUAAAGAGGUACUUAAGGCUGAAUGAGGUAAUGAGAGUAGAUCUUAACACAAAAAUAACAGUGUCGUAAUGAGAUGGGAUGCAGCUGUUUCCUCUGGGCCAUCAGCUAUCAUAGAUUAGAAAUCCAUACAGUGACCUACAGAGUAUCCUGGCUCUGAAGUCAUGGAAGCUUGGUAAACAAAACAGCAGAGUGAUCCACGGUAUUGGGACCACUAAAUUCUUCCCUAGGAGUGGAGAUAGGAGGGUCACUAGACCCUCUCUGGAUGUUCUGGCUGCCACUCCCUCCAGCCUGCUAGCUACUUGUGGUGUUAGGCUGCUAGAAGCUAUAACAGGUGGAGGAUUAAUUGCCGAUGGGACUCAAGUGAUGCAUUUUUUUCAUGAGUUGUGUCUCCCUUGUUGGGGAUGGGGUUUUGGUAACAUCUGUAACUAACCUCAAUAAAAUUUAUGACGUCGCAAACUG
This is a long non-coding RNA of Mesocricetus auratus (golden hamster), 1378 nucleotides long. RefSeq lists it as uncharacterized. The record is from RefSeq and is a predicted model, not a curated record. The transcript has 3 exons. Lineage: Eukaryota; Metazoa; Chordata; Mammalia; Rodentia; Cricetidae.